RNAcentral lists this ribosomal RNA (301 nucleotides) under uncultured bacterium. RNAcentral's name for it is "partial 16S ribosomal RNA". It matches the Rfam family "Bacterial small subunit ribosomal RNA", at positions 509 to 807 of the family's 1533-position model. The record is from RNAcentral.
CAGCCGCCGCGGUAAUACGGAGGGUGCAAGCGUUAAUCGGAAUUACUGGGCGUAAAGCGCACGCAGGCGGUCUGACAAGUCAGAUGUGAAAUCCCCGGGCUUAACCUGGGAACUGCAUUUGAAACUGUCAGGCUGGAGUCUUGUAGAGGGGGGUAGAAUUCCAGGUGUAGCGGUGAAAUGCGUAGAGAUCUGGAGGAAUACCGGUGGCGAAGGCGGCCCCCUGGACAAAGACUGACGCUCAGGUGCGAAAGCGUGGGGAGCAAACAGGAUUAGAUACCCCGGUAGUCCCUGUCUCUUAUAC